RNAcentral lists this ribosomal RNA (253 nucleotides) under uncultured prokaryote. RNAcentral describes it as "partial 16S ribosomal RNA". It matches the Rfam family "Bacterial small subunit ribosomal RNA", at positions 524 to 776 of the family's 1533-position model. The record is from RNAcentral.
UACGUAGGUGGCAAGCGUUGUUCGGAAUCACUGGGCAUAAAGCGCGCGUAGGCGGCCAUGUAAGUCGGGUGUGAAAGCCCUCGGCUCAACCGAGGAACUGCGCUCGAUACUGCAUGGCUUGAGGUCCGGAGAGGAAAGCGGAAUUCCUGGUGUAGAGGUGAAAUUCGUAGAUAUCAGGAGGAACACCAGUGGCGAAGGCGGCUUUCUGGACGGUAACUGACGCUGAGACGCGAAAGCGUGGGGAGCAAACAGG